UACGGAGGGGGCAAGCGUUGUUCGGAUUUACUGGGCGUAAAGGGCGCGUAGGCGGUUUGGUAAGUUACUUGUGAAAUCUCCGGGCUUAACUCGGAGCGGCCAAGUAAUACUACCGAACUAGAGUGUAGAAGGGGCAACUGGAAUUCUUGGUGUAGCGGUGAAAUGCGUAGAUAUCAAGAGGAACACCUGAGGCGAAGGCGGGUUGCUGGGCUAACACUGACGCUGAGGCGCGAAAGCUAGGGGAGCAAACAGG
Molecule: ribosomal RNA, 253 nt
Filed under: uncultured bacterium
Lineage: Bacteria
Description: partial 16S ribosomal RNA
Rfam family: Bacterial small subunit ribosomal RNA
Source: RNAcentral